AUCGAACGCUGGCGGCAUGCUUUACACAUGCAAGUCGAACGGUAACAGCACUUCGGUGGCUGACGAGUGGCGAACGGGUGAGUAAUACAUCGGAACGUGCCUAGUAGUUGGGGAUAACUACUCGAAAGAGUAGCUAAUACCGCAUGAGAUCUAAGGAUGAAAGCAGGGGACCUUCGGGCCUUGCGCUACUAGAGCGGCUGAUGGCAGAUUAGGUAGUUGGUGGGAUAAAAGCUUACCAAGCCGACGAUCUGUAGCUGGUCUGAGAGGACGACCAGCCACACUGGGACUGAGACACGGCCCAGACUCCUACGGGAGGCAGCAGUGGGGAAUUUUGGACAAUGGGCGCAAGCCUGAUCCAGCAAUGCGGCGUGCAGGAUGAAGGCCUUCGGGUUGUAAACUGCUUUUGUACGGAACGAAAAGCCCUCUUCUAAUACAGGAGGGUCAUGACGGUACCGUAAGAAUAAGCACCGGCUAACUACGUG
Molecule: ribosomal RNA, 482 nt
Filed under: uncultured bacterium
Lineage: Bacteria
Description: partial 16S ribosomal RNA
Rfam family: Bacterial small subunit ribosomal RNA
Source: RNAcentral